UUAGCUUUACUAUUUGUUUAAAAUAUAACAAAAUUUUUUUGUCAGACACAACAGUCAUCCCAUGACACUGUCUCCGAAAAAAUUGUCAACCCACAGACCGUUUCAGCUCAUGCUUCGACGCCUUAGCAAUCGCGUUUGGCAUUUGGCAUUAAUGGCUGCAGGGUAAGGCGUUGUUGGCUCAUUGGGGGUUUAAGGGGGGAGGGAAAUUGGCAGUAGCAGGAGAUGAAGGCCAAAACAAAAGAUGAAAGGAAACAAAGAAACCGCACCACAGUCGCAUCACACCCAUCCCUACAUACCGCCCCACCGCUCGACUUUUUAUUCGAAAAUAUUCAUUAGUCCGAAGUGGCAUCGAUCGGAACGGGAAAUAGCGAUAUAUACUAUGCUCUCGCAUGGCGAUGCGUACAGAUUUCAGAUUUUCUCCUGGCCAUAAAUUUCCCGGAUAGCCAACUAUUCAGCACUCAAUCCCCCACCGACCCCUCAUUUUCCAUGGACGCGAGCUAUUUUGGUAAAAAUUUUAAUUAAAAUCCCAGACAGUUACACUCGCCGCGAUAGAGAGUUGUACUCGUGGCAUCCAGCACAAGUGCGUCUGCCGUGUGCUCAAGCAUCGCCGAGCGAUUGCCACAAACAGCAAUCGCACAGGACUUUCCGAGCCAAGGAGCCAGGAUGGCUAAGAUAGCAAACCGGCAUCUGCAAGCCGGAAGGCAGUGCACUGUAGUGGAGUAAACGCACGUAGCACGUGCAGUUCUAAUAACCUGAGAUGUUAUAUUCGGGGGUACUUUAUAUGUUUGAUAUGCAGCUAAUUUGAAACAUCACAAUUUUUAGUCACAUUAAAUAUAAAUUCAGUUAUACAACACUUGAGCAGUGUUA
Long non-coding RNA from Drosophila yakuba, 867 nucleotides. RefSeq lists it as uncharacterized. The record is from RefSeq and is a predicted model, not a curated record. The transcript is spliced from 2 exons. NCBI's taxonomy places the organism in Eukaryota, Metazoa, Arthropoda, Insecta, Diptera, Drosophilidae.